This 438-nucleotide ribosomal RNA is filed under the name uncultured bacterium. RNAcentral describes it as "partial 16S ribosomal RNA". It matches the Rfam family "Bacterial small subunit ribosomal RNA", at positions 339 to 795 of the family's 1533-position model. The record is from RNAcentral.
CUACGGGGUGCAGCAGUGAGGAAUAUUGCACAAUGGGGGGAACCCUGAUGCAGCAACGCCGCGUGGAGGAUGACGCAUUUCGGUGUGUAAACUCCUUUUAUAUGUCAAGAAAAUGACGGUAGCAUAUGAAUAAGCACCGGCUAACUCCGUGCCAGCAGCCGCGGUAAUACGGAGGGUGCAAGCGUUACUCGGAAUCACUGGGCGUAAAGGACGCGUAGGCGGGUUGGAAAGUCAGGUGUGAAAUCCUACAGCUUAACUGUAGAACUGCACUUGAAACUUCUAAUCUAGAGUAUGGGAGGGGGAGAUGGAAUUAGUGGUGUAGGGGUAAAAUCCGUAGAUAUCACUAGGAAUACCUAAAGCGAAGGCGAUCUCCUGGAACAUUACUGACGCUAAGGCGCGAAAGCGUGGGUGCAAACAGGAUUAGAUACCCGAGUAGUC